GUGAUCGUCGAAUCUGUUGACCUGGCGCCACCGGAAAAAGAAAUUCCCGGGCCCUGGCUUCUUGGCCUGAUGGCACUGCUAGCCUUGAAGCCUCCAGCCUGCUGGAUGCCUCCAUCCCCGGCUAUGCUGUGGCUCUCCUCAUUCUAGGCCUCCUGCUCGUCACAUUCACCCUUGUCCUGGUGCUAAAGUGGAGGGCCUCCCAUGGGGUGUUCAGCCUGGGUGUGUAGAAGCACACAGUGUGGUACAGAGGACCCUCUCCAGACAGAAAUGAUGCUGGGAGCUGACAGAAACUGAACUUAGGAGCACAGGAGGCCAGGAGACCUGGGACAGAGAACAGGAGGUGACCCCUCAUGCUGCUGCUCCCUCUGCUGAAACCCAAACUGCAAACCUCUCCUCUCCCUGCCUUCACCUUGCCCCACGGCUUCCACAGACAGUGCCUCAACCCCGAGGAAUGAAUCCGAAGUUCCAACACCACUGACUUUCCCAGGAACUCAGAGCCAGAGAGGGCCAAGGACCAGCUCGAGGACACACAGCCAGGGCUUCUUCCCUCCGAAACCCCCAAGGACUGGACUUGCAGGGCUGGGACAGAGGUGGGGUGGGGGAAAGCAAUGCCUUGUCAACCCACGUGGGGAGCCCCACUCCCAUCCCCAAGGUGCAUAAAGUUGAGGAACACCCCUGC
This 679-nucleotide long non-coding RNA is filed under the name Homo sapiens (human). RNAcentral's name for it is "HSALNT0382373". Lineage: Eukaryota; Metazoa; Chordata; Mammalia; Primates; Hominidae. The record is from RNAcentral.